CUAUUACAUUCCCCAAAAACUGAUCUCUGUCAGAAAGUAUCAAGCUUUGAGCUUGAUGAUUCUCUAGUUCAUUGUGUUCUUCCAAUAUUUGAGGUAGAAGAUGGAGCAGUUCAAAGAGAGGAAGUUCGCAGAGAAUGUGGUAAAGGUCAAGAUGAGUGUAAAGUCAUCAGUCAUCAGUCACGGACUUGUGUAGUAAUCACUUGUGCAAUGCUUACGUACUAACUCUUGUAAUCUUGUAUUCUUGCAAACUCUUGUAGUCAU
Long non-coding RNA from Brassica oleracea var. oleracea, 261 nucleotides. RefSeq lists it as uncharacterized. The transcript has 3 exons. The record is from RefSeq and is a predicted model, not a curated record. NCBI's taxonomy places the organism in Eukaryota, Viridiplantae, Streptophyta, Magnoliopsida, Brassicales, Brassicaceae.